AGAUCUGAGCAUGGUCAAGGAAUUGGAUAUGAUGAGUCAGUAAAGAUUACCCGAGAUUGAAGAGAGCACAACAGGAAUUCACAGGUGAUACUCCUUGCUAAUUUGAGCAUUAUAGAAUAUUCACACAGGACCGAUUCUUCAUGUCGAACGAGAAAUAUAAUCGAUGUUAAACAUUUAAUUCCGGAAUUACAUGUGUAUGGACACGAAAAGUGACAUUUACCAUAGAAACUGUCUGGCCACUGAGUGGGGGAGAAGUGUAGCAUUGUGUGUGGACUCAAACUAUCCAGUAUAUUGAAGUGACACAUAGUGUUUGUGAUUGGACUAACUAUAAAACUACACUUCUUCCAAU
Long non-coding RNA from Ruditapes philippinarum (Manila clam), 349 nucleotides. RefSeq lists it as uncharacterized. NCBI's taxonomy places the organism in Eukaryota, Metazoa, Mollusca, Bivalvia, Venerida, Veneridae. The transcript has 3 exons. The record is from RefSeq and is a predicted model, not a curated record.